RNAcentral lists this ribosomal RNA (249 nucleotides) under Klebsiella pneumoniae. Its description in RNAcentral is "partial 16S ribosomal RNA". It matches the Rfam family "Bacterial small subunit ribosomal RNA", at positions 486 to 734 of the family's 1533-position model. The record is from RNAcentral. Lineage: Bacteria; Pseudomonadati; Pseudomonadota; Gammaproteobacteria; Enterobacterales; Enterobacteriaceae.
AGAAGCACCGGCUAACUCCGUGCCAGCAGCCGCGGUAAUACGGAGGGUGCAAGCGUUAAUCGGAAUUACUGGGCGUAAAGCGCACGCAGGCGGUCUGUCAAGUCGGAUGUGAAAUCCCCGGGCUUAACCUGGGAACUGCAUUCGAAACUGGCAGGCUAGAGUCUUGUAGAGGGGGGUAGAAUUCCAGGUGUAGCGGUGAAAUGCGUAGAGAUCUGGAGGAAUACCGGUGGCGAAGGCGGCCCCCUGGAC